CACCGCGGUUAUACGAGAGGCCCCAGUUGAUAGGCACGGCGUAAAGGGUGGUUAAGGAAAGCAUAAAUAAAGCCAAAGGGCCUCCCGGCCGUCAUACGCUCCCGAGUGUCCGAAGCCCAUAAACGAAAGUAGCUUUAGUACUGCCCACCUGACCCCACGAAAACUGAGAAACAAACUGGGAUUAGAUACCCCACUAUGCUCAGCCGUAAACCUAGACGUUAUUCCACUAUAAACGUCCGCCCGGGUACUACGAGCGUUAGCUUAAAACCCAAAGGACUUGGCGGUGCCUUAGACCCCCCUAGAGGAGCCUGUCCUAGAACCGAUAAUCCCCGUUAAACCUCACCACUUCUGGCCAACCCCGCCUAUAUACCGCCGUCGUCAGCUUACCCUGUGAAGGACUAACAGUAAGCUAAGUGGAUAUAAUCCAAAACGUCAGGUCGAGGUGUAGCGCACGAAGUGGGAAGAGAUGGGCUACAUUUUCUAUAAUAGAAUAUUCACGAACAGUACCCUGAAAAAUGACUCAAAGGAGGAUUUAGUAGUAAAAAGGAAAAAGAGUGUCCUUUUGAACCCGGCUCUGAGGCGCGUACACACCGCCCGUCACUCUCCCCUGUCACACAGCAAUAAAUGUUAUUAACACCAAAGCACCGACAAGGGGAGGCAAGUCGUAACAUGGUAAGUGUACCGGAAGGUGCACUUGGAUCAAACCCAGGGUGUGGCUGAG
This 721-nucleotide ribosomal RNA is filed under the name Barbatula toni (Siberian stone loach). RNAcentral's name for it is "partial small subunit ribosomal RNA". It matches the Rfam family "Bacterial small subunit ribosomal RNA", at positions 513 to 1533 of the family's 1533-position model. Lineage: Eukaryota; Metazoa; Chordata; Actinopteri; Cypriniformes; Nemacheilidae. The record is from RNAcentral.